RNAcentral lists this long non-coding RNA (321 nucleotides) under Carica papaya (papaya). RNAcentral's name for it is "long non-coding RNA (CPAP_LNC003038)". The record is from RNAcentral. Lineage: Eukaryota; Viridiplantae; Streptophyta; Magnoliopsida; Brassicales; Caricaceae.
UGAUAAAUGAAUUUACUUAAAAUAAGAUUUCCAUUAGUUAUUUUCAUGAUUUUUACUAACCUUCAUUUUUGUAUCGGUGAGUAAUGUGAUAUUCUUACUGGGCUAGUGUAGCUCACUCUUUCAUUAAACAUUUCAGAUUAAGAGGACCAAAAUCCAGGUCCUAAUCCACAUGAGGGUUGCAAGUAGGACAUUCAGUUUGUUUACUUUUCAUUUAUUUAUUUGAUUAUUAGUUGUUCUUUUAGAAUGAUCAUUCUCGUUGCACUAUUGGUAUUAUGAAUUAUUGUUUAAGGAAUGUAACCCUAACGCUAUUAUUUCGCUUCC